UACGUAGGGGGCGAGCGUUGUCCGGAAUCAUUGGGCGUAAAGCGCGUGUAGGCGGCUCGAUAAGUCCGGUGUGAAACCUUGGGGCUCAACCCCAAGCCUGCACUGGAUACUGCCGAGCUAGAGUCCGGGAGGGGAGAGCGGAAUUCCUAGUGUAGCGGUGAAAUGCGCAGAUAUUAGGAAGAACACCGGUGGCGAAGGCGGCUCUCUGGAACGGUACUGACGCUGAGACGCGAAAGCGUGGGGAGCAAACAGG
RNAcentral lists this ribosomal RNA (253 nucleotides) under uncultured bacterium. RNAcentral describes it as "partial 16S ribosomal RNA". It matches the Rfam family "Bacterial small subunit ribosomal RNA", at positions 524 to 776 of the family's 1533-position model. The record is from RNAcentral.